AAUAGAUACCCCGGUAGUCCACGCCGUAAACGAUGUCGACUUGGAGGUUGUUCCCUUGAGGAGUGGCUUCCGGAGCUAACGCGUUAAGUCGACCACCUGGGGAGUACGGCCGCAAGGUUAAAACUCAAAUGAAUUGACGGGGGCCCGCACAAGCGGUGGAGCAUGUGGUUUAAUUCGAUGCAACGCGAAGAACCUUACCUACUCUUGACAUCCAGAGAACUUAGCAGAGAUGCUUUGGUGCCUCCGGGAACUCUGAGACAGGUGCUGCAUGGCUGUCGUCAGCUCGUGUUGUGAAAUGUUGGGUUAAGUCCCGCAACGAGCGCAACCCUUAUCCUUUGUUGCCAGCGGUUCGGCCGGGAACUCAAAGGAGACUGCCAGUGAUAAACUGGAGGAAGGUGGGGAUGACGUCAAGUCAUCAUGGCCCUUACGAGUAGGGCUACACACGUGCUACAAUGGCGUAUACAAAGAGAAGCGACCUCGCGAGAGCAAGCGGACCUCAUAAAGUACGUCGUAGUCCGGAUUGGAGU
Molecule: ribosomal RNA, 527 nt
Filed under: uncultured bacterium
Lineage: Bacteria
Description: bacterial SSU rRNA
Rfam family: Bacterial small subunit ribosomal RNA
Source: RNAcentral